GCCUUGUGCCAGCAGCCGCGGUAAUUCCAGCUCCAAUAGCGUAUAUUAAAGUUGUUGCGGUUAAAAAGCUCGUAGUUGGAUCUCGGCAGGUAGGGGGCGGUUCGUUUCUGACGGCACUGCCCCAUUUACCUGUGUUUUUGACGGAGGUCUCAAGGUGGCUUUAAACGGCUGUCUUGGUACGCCGUCAGGUUUACUUUGAAAAAAUUAGAGUGCUCAAAGCAGGCUACAAAGCUUGAAUAUUUGUGCAUGGAAUAAUGGAAUAGGAAGUCGUUUCUAUUUUUUUUGGUUUUCGGAAAUUGACUUAAUGAUUAAUAGGGACAGCCGGGGGCAUUAGUACUCAGACGACAGAGGUGAAAUUCUUGGACCGUUUGAGGACUAACUACUGCGAAAGCAUUUGCCAAGAGUGUUUUCAUUAAUCAAGAACGAAAGUUAGAGGUUCGAAGGCGAUCAGAUACCGCCCUAGUUCUAACCAUAAACGAUGCUGACUAGCGAUCCGUAGCUGUUUUCUAUGUAGGCUCUACGGGAAGCUUCCGGGAAACCAAAGUUUUUGAGUUCCGGGGGAAGUAUGGUUGCAAAGCUGAAACUUAAAGGAAUUGACGGAAGGGCACCACCAGGAGUGGAGCCUGCGGCUUAAUUUGACUCAACACGGGAAAUCUCACCAGGCCCGGACACUGGAAGGAUUGACAGAUUGAGAGCUCUUUCUCGAUUCAGUGGGUGGUGGUGCAUGGCCGUUCUUAGUUGGUGGAGUGAUUUGUCUGGUUAAUUCCGAUAACGAACGAGACUCUGUCCUGCUAAAUAGGUUUGCCGUCUCUUUUGCGGUACACAUUCUUCUUAGAGGGACUGGCGGCGUCUAGCCGCACGAGAUUGAGCAAUAACAGGUCUGUGAUGCCCA
Molecule: ribosomal RNA, 892 nt
Filed under: uncultured eukaryote
Lineage: Eukaryota
Description: SSU rRNA
Rfam family: Eukaryotic small subunit ribosomal RNA
Source: RNAcentral